ACGAACGCUGGCGGCGUGCCUAAUACAUGCCAGUUGAGCGCUGAAGGUUGGUACUUGUACCAACUGGAUGAGCAGCGAACGGGUGAGUAACGCGUGGGGAAUCUGCCUUUGAGCGGGGGACAACAUUUGGAAACGAAUGCUAAUACCGCAUAAAAACUUUAAACACAAGUUUUAAGUUUGAAAGAUGCAAUUGCAUCACUCAAAGAUGAUCCCGCGUUGUAUUAGCUAGUUGGUGAGGUAAAGGCUCACCAAGGCGAUGAUACAUAGCCGACCUGAGAGGGUGAUCGGCCACAUUGGGACUGAGACACGGCCCAAACGCCUACGGGAGGCAGCAGUAGGGAAUCUUCGGCAAUGGACGAAAGUCUGACCGAGCAACGCCGCGUGAGUGAAGAAGGUUUUCGGAUCGUAAAACUCUGUUGGUAGAGAAGAACGUUGGUGAGAGUGGAAAGCUCAUCAAGUGACGGUAACUACCCAGAAAGGGACGGCUAACUACGUG
RNAcentral lists this ribosomal RNA (496 nucleotides) under uncultured bacterium. Its description in RNAcentral is "partial 16S ribosomal RNA". It matches the Rfam family "Bacterial small subunit ribosomal RNA", at positions 29 to 507 of the family's 1533-position model. The record is from RNAcentral.